This 264-nucleotide long non-coding RNA is filed under the name Phoenix dactylifera (date palm). Its description in RNAcentral is "long non-coding RNA (PDAC_LNC009544)". The record is from RNAcentral. Lineage: Eukaryota; Viridiplantae; Streptophyta; Magnoliopsida; Arecales; Arecaceae.
UGUAUGUGUAUGUAUGUAUGUAGAUGUAUGUAUAUGUAUGUAUAUGUAUGUAUGUAGAUGUAUGUAUGUAUGUAUAUGUAUGUAUAUGUAUGUAUGUAGAUGUAUGUAUGUAUGUGUAUGUAUGUAUGUAGAUGUAUGUAUGUAUGUGUAUGUAUGUAUGUAGAUGUAUGUAUGUAUGUGUAUGUAUGUAUGUAUGUGUAUGUAUGUAUGUAGAUGUAUGUAUGUAUGUGUAUGUGUAUGUAGAUGUAUGUAUGUAUGUAUGUA